This 261-nucleotide long non-coding RNA is filed under the name Elaeis guineensis (African oil palm). RNAcentral describes it as "long non-coding RNA (EGUI_LNC035465)". Lineage: Eukaryota; Viridiplantae; Streptophyta; Magnoliopsida; Arecales; Arecaceae. The record is from RNAcentral.
GGCAUCCCCUUGCUUGUUGGUUUUCAAGCCUUGAUUGCUUCGUAAUCAAGAAAAAAAAAGCAAGAGAAGAAGAGAAGAAAAGAUCAAGAAAAAGAUCAAAGAGUUGAUCGCGAUCCAGAUUUCGUUCAGAUUCGCAGGCUCAUUGUUCUUAAAGAAGAAAGAUCAACACCAAAGAGGACUGUUCCAGACUGAUCCUAAGUGGAUAUCCAUAGAGGUCGAGUACUUGUGCAGCUAAGAAAGAAUCUACUCUCUUUCAGAUCC